GCGCCUGUAGGCCAAUGGCAGAGUCAGCAGACUUAAAAUCUGCAAAGUGUGGGUUCGAGUCCCACUAGGCGUACCA
This 76-nucleotide transfer RNA is filed under the name compost metagenome. RNAcentral's name for it is "tRNA-Leu". It matches the Rfam family "tRNA". From Rfam's summary of the family: Transfer RNA (tRNA) molecules are approximately 80 nucleotides in length. The record is from RNAcentral.